RNAcentral lists this ribosomal RNA (495 nucleotides) under Triodontella sp. DA2864. RNAcentral describes it as "partial 16S large subunit ribosomal RNA". It matches the Rfam family "Bacterial large subunit ribosomal RNA", at positions 1844 to 2600 of the family's 2925-position model. The record is from RNAcentral. Lineage: Eukaryota; Metazoa; Arthropoda; Insecta; Coleoptera; Scarabaeidae.
UAUAAGGUCUAAUCUGCCCAAUGAGUAAUUGAAUGGCCGCGGUACUUUGACCGUGCAAAGGUAGCAUAAUAAUUAGUUUUUUAAUUGAAAGCUGGAAUGAAUGAUUGGACGAGAAAAUUACUGUCUCAGUUUAGAUUAAUUUGAAUUUUAUUUUUAAGUAAAAAAGCUUAAAUUUAUUUAAAAGACGAGAAGACCCUAUAGAGUUUUAUAGAUUAAUUUAUAAUUUUAUAUAGGGAUAUUUUUGUGGUUAUAAUUUACUUUAUUUUAUUGGGGCGAUGGAAAAAUUUAUUUAACUUUUUUUUUAUAUUUACAUUAAUGUAUGGGUUUUUGAUCCAAUUUUUUUGAUUAUAAGAUUAAAUUACCUUAGGGAUAACAGCGUAAUUUUUUUUUAGAGUUCUAAUCGAAAAAAAAGUUUGCGACCUCGAUGUUGGAUUAAAAUUAAUGUUUGGUGUAGAAGCUAAAUAAUUAGGUCUGUUCGACCUUUAAAAUUUUACA